UUAUGUAAGUGUGGUAGGUAGAGUUGAGUGUGUUAGGUGAGAGUUGAGUGUGGUAGGUAGAUGUAAGUGUGUUAGGUGAGAGUUGAGUGUGGUUGGUAAAUAUGUUUUUCUCUUCUAUAUAUAGGAGAGUCAUUGUAUACAA
This is a non-coding RNA of Camellia sinensis, 142 nucleotides long. The record is from RefSeq and is a predicted model, not a curated record. NCBI's taxonomy places the organism in Eukaryota, Viridiplantae, Streptophyta, Magnoliopsida, Ericales, Theaceae.